UAAGGAAUAGCCACUGGAAACGGUGAGUAAUACCUUAUACGCCCUUCGGGGAAAGAUUUAUCGCCGAGAGAUCGCCCGCGUUAGAUUAGGUAGUUGGUGGGGUAACGGCCUACCAAGCCUACGAUCUAUAGCUGGUUUGAGAGGAUGAUCAGCAACACUGGGACUGAGACACGGCCCAGACUCCUACGGGAGGCAGCAGUGGGGAAUCUUAGACAAUGGGCGCAAGUGAUCUAGCCAUGCCGCGUGAGUGACGAAGGCCUUAGGGUCGUAAAGCUCUUUCGCCAGGGAUGAUAAUGACAGUACCUGGUAAAGAAACCCCGGCUAACUCCGUGCCAGCAGCCGCGGUAAUACGGAGGGGGUUAGCGUUGUUCGGAAUUACUGGGCGUAAAGCGCGCGUAGGGGAUUGGAAAGUUGGGGGUGAAAUCCCGGGGCUCAACCCCGAACUGCCUCCAAAACUAUCAGUCUAGAGUUCGAGAGAGGUGAGUGGAAUUCCAAGUGUAGAGGUGAAAUUCGUAGAUAUUUGGAGGAACACCAGUGGUGAAGGCGGCUCACUGGCUCGAUACUGACGCUGAGGUACGAAAGUGUGGGGAGCAAACAGGAUUAGAUACCCUGGUAGUCCACACCGUAAACGAUGAAUGCCAGACGUCGGGGGGCUUGCCUUCGGUGUCACACCUAACGGAUUAAGCAUUCCGCCUGGGGAGUACGGUCGCAAGAUUAAAACUCAAAGGAAUUGACGGGGGCCCG
Molecule: ribosomal RNA, 744 nt
Filed under: uncultured bacterium
Lineage: Bacteria
Description: bacterial SSU rRNA
Rfam family: Bacterial small subunit ribosomal RNA
Source: RNAcentral